RNAcentral lists this ribosomal RNA (24 nucleotides) under Synechococcus sp. MA0607B. Its description in RNAcentral is "partial 23S ribosomal RNA". The record is from RNAcentral. Lineage: Bacteria; Bacillati; Cyanobacteriota; Cyanophyceae; Synechococcales; Synechococcaceae.
UGUCAAGCUCAAAAGGCUCCUUCU